AACCAUCUCACCAUGUUAUAGAAGAUAAUUCUCUACAGUAACAAUGAGCACUUUGACCCCCCUACAUAGUUCAGACUUGUAAAUCUUUUUACUGGCCUGAGAAUACAAACUUCUCCGAUGUCUUGAAUUUAUUUGUGAUUCUAGUUUGAUUGUUGUUAAUGCUGAAUUACGCGACAUAUCUUUGCAUUAUGUUUUUUCAGCAGUUGGUGACUUUGUUGACUUUCUCAGACUCGACUAACCUUUUGAAGGGGUCAUGGAAUUUCUAGUUCCAAUGAUGUUUGUUCUGUUUGUUGUUUAUUUGGCAUCAAAGACACUCGGAAUUUUAUCUUUGAUGAGAGACACCAUUUCACUUUAUGAAACACUAUUUUAAAGUUUUUUAUAGAUUUGAUUUCUUAUUGGUUGGGUUGUUGGCUAAAGGAACUAAUACCAUGUUUGUGUACUAAUACCAUGUUUGUGUAGGUAAUAUAUGUAUUAGGCUUUACAAAUCAUCUCUUUAAUGUUUAAUCUAAUCGACAUCCCCAGAGUAAUAGUUUGAGUUUUCUUUCAUUUUCUUAGGGAUCGAUCGAGUGAGCUAAAAUUGUUCUUCUAUGACAGUCACAUGUAAUUUUCAUUGUGGAAAACUUAUUCCCAUUUCAUACUGAUGGACUGUGUGAUCUGUAUCUGUCUCUGCAUGUUAGGAUUGAGAGGAAUCUAGAUGAAUAUUAGGACCAAAUCUUAGAAAAUAAUUUCUUGACGUACCUUAGAUCAGGGGAGAUUUUCAUGAAGAGGCAUAUCACUUGUGCUUCGUUUCAGCUUUCUCCCAAACAGACAUCAGCAGUAACAACAUGUGAAAUUUUAUCUAUUAUAUACAUUGUUGUUCAUGUUUAUUCUUGACUUGCUAGGUGAAAUUUUUCCCGAUGGAGGCUAAGUUCUUCCGUUUUCUUAAGUUCUUCCGUUUUCAAAGCUUUCUUGGAGUUGAUUCUUGAGGUCAUAACAAGCCGUCUUGUUUUGCGUCUUCAGGCGGAUCCUGACUUUGUUUGUAACGUGGAUAACCAUAACCCACAACUCUUGCGCGAUUCUGGACUAUCCUGAAGGCAAUGAACCUGUCAUGCAGUCUUACAAGCGCGUGCACGUACACUAUAUAGGAAAUAUAUACAAAUACGCAAUGGCAACUGAUAUGAGCCGGAACGACGCUGCUUCCUUGAAGAAGCCAUGUGAGGAAGGUGGAAGCUCUUGGGACAACUUCAAGAAUCAAAUGAAAGACCACACGCGCUCCUUCAAACUAGCCUUUCACUCGGUGAAGAAUAAAAUCAGUAUUCCUGCAAAAUGGAGUGUAGAUCAAAAUCCAUCUCAUGAAUCAAUGGAAUUGCCAUGGGAACGUGACUUCACCUCAGUUUGUUGAGAUGUCAUCUCUAUAUUUAUUACUAUUUCUGUUAUUUUUCUUUUCCCAAUAAAUUAGCUCGAUUUCAUAUUUCAUGUUUGCUACCUAGCAUAUUAUUCUAUCUAUAUAUAUAGGGGGUGUUCGGUUGACAUUACUAA
This is an RNA transcript of Salvia splendens (bonfire salvia), 1518 nucleotides long. RefSeq lists it as uncharacterized. The record is from RefSeq and is a predicted model, not a curated record. The transcript is spliced from 4 exons. NCBI's taxonomy places the organism in Eukaryota, Viridiplantae, Streptophyta, Magnoliopsida, Lamiales, Lamiaceae.